Molecule: ribosomal RNA, 274 nt
Filed under: uncultured bacterium
Lineage: Bacteria
Description: partial 16S ribosomal RNA
Rfam family: Bacterial small subunit ribosomal RNA
Source: RNAcentral
AUACGGAGGGUGCAAGCGUUGUUCGGAAUUACUGGGCGUAAAGCGCGCGUAGGCGGUCUGUUAUGUCAGAUGUGAAAGUCCUCGGCUCAACCGGGGAAGUGCAUUUGAAACUGGCAGACUUGAGUACUGGAGGGGGUGGUGGAAUUCCCGGUGUAGAGGUGAAAUUCGUAGAUAUCGGGAGGAAUACCGGUGGCGAAGGUGACCACCUGGCCAGAUACUGACGCUGAGGUGCGAAAGCGUGGGGAGCAAACAGGAUUAGAAACCCCGGUAGUCC